CCAGCAGCCGCGGUAAUUCCAGCUCCAAUAGCGUAUAUUAAAGUUGUUGCAGUUAAAAAGCUCGUAGUUGGAUUUCUGGCAGGAGCGGCCGGUCACACACUCUGUGUGUGAACUUGUGCUGUCUCUGGCCAUCCUUGGGGAGAUCCUGUUUGGCAUUAAGUUGUCGGGCAGGGGAUACCCAUCGUUUACUGUGAAAAAAUUAGAGUGUUUAAAGCAGGCUUAUGCCGUUGAAUAUAUUAGCAUGGAAUAAUAAGAUAGGACUUCGGAACUAUUUUGUUGGUUUGCGUUACGAAGUAAUGAUUAAUAGGGACAGUUGGGGGUAUUCGUAUUUCGUUGUCAGAGGUGAAAUUCUUGGAUUUCCGAAAGACGAACUACUGCGAAAGCAUUUACCAAGGAUGUUUUCAUUAAUCAAGAACGAAAGU
This 422-nucleotide ribosomal RNA is filed under the name uncultured eukaryote. Its description in RNAcentral is "SSU rRNA". It matches the Rfam family "Eukaryotic small subunit ribosomal RNA", at positions 567 to 990 of the family's 1831-position model. The record is from RNAcentral.